CUACGAAAGGUGCAAGCGUUGUUCGGAUUUACUGGGCGUAAAGAGAGUGUAGGUUGUUUAUUAAGUCGGAUGUGAAAUCCCGGGGCUCAACCUCGGAACUGCAUUCGAUACUGAUAGGCUAGAGUUUGGGAGGGGUAAGCGGAAUUCCGUGUGUAGCAGUGAAAUGCGUAGAUAUACGGAGGAACACCUGAGGCGAAGGCGGCUUACUGGACCAAUACUGACACUGAGACUCGAAAGCGUGGGUAGCAAACAGGAUUAGAAACCCUUGUAGUCC
RNAcentral lists this ribosomal RNA (274 nucleotides) under uncultured bacterium. Its description in RNAcentral is "partial 16S ribosomal RNA". It matches the Rfam family "Bacterial small subunit ribosomal RNA", at positions 523 to 796 of the family's 1533-position model. The record is from RNAcentral.